AUACCUAUACCUUAUACGGGAAAACGAAAAUUAAUAGCGGUCAGCUGGCCCCACAGCCCGAGACGCUGUACAUUAUGACGUGUAAUAAGAACGGGACAAUAAUUGGAGACCUCGGAGCGAAAACCCGCAGAGAAUUCCGCUGUUUUUUUUAAAAAUAAUACUGUUCUUUACUUUUCCCGGAUUUAUCGGCCACAAUCGUUGCACCGGAAUAUUCUAAGACUAGAUAUGUGGGCGUAUCCGGAAUGUGGUUCCUGUUUGAAAAAAGG
This is a non-coding RNA of Cinara cedri, 266 nucleotides long. Lineage: Eukaryota; Metazoa; Arthropoda; Insecta; Hemiptera; Aphididae. The record is from the annotation of a GenBank genome assembly.